GGACGGGUGAGGAAUACGUAGGAAUCUGCCCUUAAGUGGGGGAUAACCCGGGGAAACCCGGAUUAAUACCGCAUGAUCUCGAAAGAGCAAAGCAGGGGACCGCAAGGCCUUGCGCUUUUGGAGGAGCCUACGUCGGAUUAGCUAGUUGGUGAGGUAACGGCUCACCAAGGCGACGAUCCGUAACUGGUCUGAGAGGAUGAUCAGUCACACCGGAACUGAGACACGGUCCGGACUCCUACGGGAGGCAGCAGUGGGGAAUAUUGGACAAUGGGCGAAAGCCUGAUCCAGCAAUGCCGCGUGUGUGAAGAAGGCCUUCGGGUUGUAAAGCACUUUAAGUUGGGAAGAAAAAGCUUCACCUAAUACGGGAGCCUUGACGGUACCGACAGAUAAGCACCGGCUAA
This 401-nucleotide ribosomal RNA is filed under the name uncultured bacterium. RNAcentral's name for it is "bacterial SSU rRNA". It matches the Rfam family "Bacterial small subunit ribosomal RNA", at positions 100 to 500 of the family's 1533-position model. The record is from RNAcentral.